UUUCGUUGGAUGCAUAUAUGCGUCGAUAGUACUCAAAGGGUUAAUUAAGAGCAUUAGUCUGUUCCAGUUACAAGUGUCAUCCUGUAAAUCAAAGAAUUUUACCAGAGACAAAUUUUGUUAUGUGAGAGAGAGAAAAAUACGUCGUUCAAAAUGAUAUUCAAGAAAGAAAUGAUUUUUAUAUUUGCAAAAGCGGUUAAAAGAGAAAGAGAGAGAGAAAGAGGAGGAGUUUCGCGGUCUAGCCACAGGAAGUACUUUACAUGCAAAUGAAAAUUACGGGAUGCUGGCUAUCUCUUGGUCGAUUGGUCGCCGCCUUCGGCGUGCAACGCAUUGCAGUCCGCACCUCUGCGUGGCUAUGCUAUUACAAAAAGAGAGAAAGAGAGAAAGAGAUGGAUCGUUAGACUCGAGGACGAUCGAGAAACGUCUAUUAAGUUCAUUAGACUAUCACGAGCAGAAGAUACAAAACUUGUUUUUGCAACAUACUCCUCGAGAUUUGUUCUUCUUCGUUGUCUUCAAAUGAGCUUCAAAGAAGCGUAAAAAUUGGACACCCCUGGAUUAUUAAAUCGAGGCGUCAAGAAGAAACUUAAAAAACGUCGCUAAGCAUCUAACCUUGCUCGUUAGCCUCUAGCUCGUAGGACUAACGUAGGACACCCUAUAGAUAUCAUCGGACGGAAGGACAGUCUCUCUCUCUCUCGCGCGCGCGCACGCACGCACGCACACACAUCCAUGUAACAUAUAUAAAUACAUAUAGAUAUAUACACACACCUAUGAUAGGUGGAUGGAUGAAUAUAAUGGCGUGCGCUAUGGAUGCAAGAGAAGCUCUAUAGGAGACGACGAGGAAGACGACGAGGACGAACGUGGAUCCAUAAGAGGGACGGGUAUCGGAGGAUAGGAAGACAAGAGGAUAGAGGAACCGCAGAGGCUACAAGGUCAACGACCUCGCCUACGUUCGCGACUAACUACUUCUUCUUCGAACCCUCUUAAGACAUAUAUUGAGGACCGACUAUCGCGAGAAAUUUAUCCAGUCUUUCCUGGUUUACCUAUUCUUCUUACAGGG
RNAcentral lists this long non-coding RNA (1054 nucleotides) under Polistes fuscatus (common paper wasp). Its description in RNAcentral is "uncharacterized LOC122521349". Lineage: Eukaryota; Metazoa; Arthropoda; Insecta; Hymenoptera; Vespidae. The record is from RNAcentral.